This 492-nucleotide ribosomal RNA is filed under the name uncultured bacterium. RNAcentral's name for it is "partial 16S ribosomal RNA". It matches the Rfam family "Bacterial small subunit ribosomal RNA", at positions 30 to 507 of the family's 1533-position model. The record is from RNAcentral.
AGUGAACGCUGGCGGUAGGCCUAACACAUGCAAGUCGAGCGGCAGCACAGGAAGAGCGUGCUCUUACGGGUGGCGGGGGACGGGCGGGUGAGGAGUAGAUCAGAAUCUACUUUGUCGGGGGGAAUAACGGGGGAAAGGUGACGCUAAUAGAGAAUAUAACGAACGGGUGAAAGCAGGGGAGCAUGGGGGCUUGGGCGAUUGAAUGAGCCGAAUUCGGAUUAGCUAGUUGGCGGGGUAAAGGCCCACCAAGGCAACGAUACGUAGCCGGGCUGAGAGGAUGAUCAGCCACACUGGAACUGAGACACGGUCCAGACUCCUACGGGAGGCAGCAGUGGGGAAUCUUCGACAAUGGGCGCAAGCCUGACCCAGCCACACCGCGUGGGUGAAGAAGGCCUUCGGGUUGUAAAACCCUUUUGUUGGGGAAGAACAACAGUAGGUUUAACCAUCGCCGUUUUGACGGUACCCAAAGAAUAAGCCACGGCUAACUUCGUG